GUCUGGAUGUUCACAUUUAUUUAUACAUAUACACAUCACCAUUUAUCACCAUAAAUUUGAACUUUAAUAUAUAACCAGAUUCCAACAGAACCAGAUUCUCUAAAUAACCCAAGGCAUGAAGACAUCAAGUCUUGUCUCCUCUUUUAAUGUCUUUCACUGUUUUAAUAUUAUUCAUGCAAUUCUUCCUUUUUCGCUGUCACCUUUGACUUGCUCACUUGCCCAGAAGGCCAACCCAGACUUUGACUACUUCACACAGCAGACCAAAGAGACUUUGUGCUUUCCCUAGGAUCAAUACUAAUCACCUGUAAUAGAUCACAAAACUGUAGCUUGCGGCUACGCUCAGCUCGCUGGUUCAAAAAAAAUUAUGCCCGGAUUUGAUCAAACUAAAUCCAAUAUGCCUCUAGGCCAUCUCUUUUAUGUGACAUUAUGAUGAUAUUAUGGUGAUACUAUUGCUGUUUUAAGAAAACUAGCAAAUAGAGGAGUUUUUACCCUACUUAAAAACCUGCUUUGAAGAUUUCUGAUCUGCUCAAAAGUUCAGAAUCUCUCCAGCUUAUACUAUAGCUUAUAGUAUAAACUAUACAGACCAAAUUCACAUACAGUCUAGAAAACAAGACAACUGGUAAUAAGGGUAUGGAAUGAAGAAGCAGAGCUACAUCUCAUGCUAAUCAGUAGAUGAUCUUUUAGCCGGAACUCUAAACAGCUCUCUUCUGUUUGACAGAAUAUGUGAGGUGAUUUCUCCUCAGUGUGUAGAAAAGUCUUGGGAAGAGACACCAAUUUGCAGUGGCCUACCAUUAAAGAAUCCGCUUGCAUGGUUACGGUAAAAAAAACUAAAACAAACCAAUUCCAUCUUGUUCAUUCAUGUGCUAAUUAGCAUCUAACUCAUUAGCACGAGUACCUCCUCCUUAGACCAAGACACUGAUCUGUUAAGGUGAAAGUUUAGAUAUGUCUUUUAACUCCCAUCAUUUUUGAAGUUAAGCAAUUGCCAAAUUUGUUUAGAAGAUACAGUACUAACAGAUAGAUGCAUCUUGUACAGGGUAAAGCUACUACAUGGCAAUGAUUUGUCUGGAAGAACAUCUGGAUUCUGGGACUUGAACAUCCUAAAUUACUGCAAUUUACUGCUCGAAACACUCAUUUGUUCCUAACAAAACUAAUGAUUUUGAAUGUAUGGAAGAACAGGAAGUUUCUGAAGCAAGAACCUGGAGCACUCUGAACAGCCUGGGUGUUGUCUGAGAGAGUGUCGAGCCUUAUUAGCACAGAUUAAGAUUUACGAGAGGUUGUACAACAAGGGUCGAAACCCACUCCAUCUGUCCCAGAGCCACAGCUAACUGAAGUGCCAUGCUAAUGAGCGUUUUGUCCGUUUUGUUGUUAUAAUCAAAUUGAUUAGGGAAAACAGAGGGGCAGAUGGCAGCAGAGAAGGAAAAAAAAUCUCUCUCUCCACCCCUCAGAUGGUCGUGGAACUUUCCGCAGGGUGCAGAUACAGAUGUCUGAUUGGAAUGCUGGUGAGCACUAGCCAACUUUCUAAUCACCUUUCACUGGGGGACUGCUUCCCUGUGCAGAGACACACAUGUGUACAUGCACAGCAACAACUCCGGGGGAGAUCUGAAACCAUCAAGAAUGCAUCUCGAUGCUCAAAAAUGCACCUCUAGCCGGUCAUUGCCUUGGGGCAAAAACACUGCUUAAAUGACCCAGACUGAACACUCGCAGGUUUGCUAAAGAAGGCAGCUUCUGGACCGCACCGCCAAGCAGCAAACUAAAGAAAACACUCUGUCCAUGCCUACGAGGACGUAUGGCUGAGGAUUUUCAGGCAUGCAACUCCACAGAGAGCUGGAAACAGCUGAACAUGGCAGAGAGAGCAAUGCUCAGAUCGGUCCAGAGCCUCCUGGGCUCCAUCAGACUGGCAUCAGGUGGCAAUCUCCACCUCGCGACAGAUGGCAUCAGCGUGCCUCCUGAGCGAUCAAUAACACAAAACAGAGAAGAUGCUGAAGCAGGGCCUUCUGCACUGUAUGCUUUUGAGGCUGACUGCAACCAUUCCAGGAAAAAAUGAAUGCUUAAAUGUUGCAGGUUUUUUUUUUGUCCUUGUUCAUUUUGGUAAAAAGUUCACCAGUGGAGAAUUUCGGACCCAAACAUUAAAUAAAUACCCACAUGUUUUUAUCCUAAUCUCUAUCUACCUUAUCUGUAUUGUCUGUCUGAUUACCACAGAUAAUGAUUUCAACAUGUUUCGAAAUACUCAGAAGAUUCCAAAGCCUGUUUUCUCUAAACCAUCUUUUAAUAAAAGUGUAAGGGCAGUUGUUGAAGUUUUUUGUAGAACACGUCCCUCAAUUUCCACUUUUUUCACUCACUUAUUGAUCUUCAGGAACUGCUUUAUCAUGGUCAGGGUAGGAGUGGAUCUGGAUUCCCAGGAACAAUGGGCAAAAAUUCUUGUCUACGGGAAUCACACAUGCAUUAUAGAUGCAGUGGAUAGAGAUUAAGUUGAAAAACGCUGAGUUAUGUCCUUAAUAAGAUGUAUAGAAGUAUAGUUAAAAGUAAUAUGCAUCUCUCUUUCUUCUUGGCCCUGUUCUCUUCCCACAUAAAGACAAAGAAAACUGUGUGUGUGUGUGUGUGUAUGAGAGAGAGACUUAGAUACAUUCGGUAUAGUCAGGUGGUACAGUGCCGGUGGGGAAGAGGCCGGCCCUGCCAGCUGCCCCGGGGGUUCCGCUCACACACGCGGCUUCCUCUACCGGCCCGCUAAUUAAAACCACCACACACACACACAUGCUGAUCAGAGUGUAACGAGGAUGCAUUCACUGGGGGGUGUGUUCUUCACACGGCGAACUUGGUGUUACACUACCGAGUCAUUCUGGUUCUGUGAUACACUUACGUUCUUUUUCAACCACUCUGCUGUUAAACAUCGUGCAGGAUAGAGGUGAAAAUAUAACAAGAUCUUCAAUGAAUAUUGAGCUCUAUUUGGAGUAAAGUGAAAGAAAAAAAAACGCCUGUAGAAUGAAUGCAAAUUUUUCCCAAGGGGAAAAAAAACUUCAAGACACACAGACAAAGAGACCUUUUUUAUCAUACAAGGAAGCAGUUCAUCAAAUUAAGACAUCAGGCCUUAACUGAAGCAAUUUGCUAAAAGGGAAGGGCUACUAUCAGUAACAAGUUUGCCUGCUCCCAAUAAGCGGACUUGCCUGUUUGACAAAAGACAGCGUCUCAUACAAUUGUUUUAUUCAUGUCCCUGUCUCCGCCGCCAGCGUGUGUGUGCCUGUCAGGAGACGAAAGCGCAAAUGGAAUCUGAAUAAACUCACACCAGGGUGAAAUGUAAGGCACAUGCGGGCAUCAUGAAGUAGCAUCUUCUUCUGUCAGAGGGGAUCCAUGUCCUCCAUCAUCACCUUCUCCACCAGCUGAGAAUGUGACAGAAUGAUUACAACAGGGACUCGUAGUCAGGUUGAGGCCUGUGUGUGCCUCUAAUCACAUCAGAUCAAAUUAAAAGGAAGCCAGAAAAAUCUCCCUAAAACCUUAGAAGGAACCAGUUCUGGUUUAAAUGAAACCUGAUCAGUAAUGGAAAGGAUCUUAUUAUACUACAUGGUUCUUCAAGGGUUCUUUAAGAGUUCAUCAGAAAUUUAAGGUCAUUCUCACAUUUACGCUUCUUUCCAAAUUCAGGGAUAAGAGUUUGGCAUGUAUGGUGAAGCAAGAAAGCCAUUUUCGAGCCUGGAAGUGGAUCCCUGCUCCACUUGUAAAUGGUGGUCUGGGGCUUUCUUCAUCCAAAUCAUGGUGCCUUCCACAUCAGUGCAGAAGCUAUCCCAUAUCAGAGCUGUACACUGAGUCCCGUGACUGGUUCAACCUGUCACUAAGUUUCACGAUGACGGUAACCAUGAGAAAUUUUAGGAAGCUAAGGACACUUAACUAUCCAAAGAACCCCUUCUGAUUUAAUGUUUGGUUCCAGCGAAUCAUCCUCCAGUGUGAGCUAACACAACCAAUAGCUAGUCCAGUCCAUCACUGUCUCCAGUUAAAUCAUUUUCUAAAUGGUUUCUGUGAUCCAUUUUGACCUCUAGUGACCUGUUAUAUCAACCUCAAGAGCCUCAAGAACAUCGACUGCAUAAACUUUCAGAGACUCCAAGUCUUCAUGCUGAGCUGAAAUAAGCCACCAUUCUUCACAGUGAACACUACAGAUGCAGUCACUUCGCUGAUGCAAACACCCCCAAAAGUAAGUGCACCCCAAUAGACUUGAAUUCAUUUUCACUGUUUUUAAGGUAAUUUUCUUCUUUCAGAUAAAUGACAGGAAGAAAAAAAAUAUAUAUAUAAUGAAUUAAUUAAUAUACUGAAACUGAUUCCAUUCCAUGCUUCAUCAUACCAUAAUGUAUUUUUCUUUCAUUUUGGCAUUUUGCCAGGUCUUAGAAUCAGUGCUCUGAAUAUAAAUGCUGUUGGUUAUAAAAUUAACCUUGAUAAAUUUUAAGUAAGUAAGAAGGAAGUUAAACACAAAUACUCAAAUAUUGCAAAUAUUGCAAAUAUUUUCCUUCACAUAAUGACCACACAGUGAGACAGUGAAGAACACACCGAGUUCAGGGUCGACUGCCAGCCAGUCACGGCCACUAACAUUAAAUUUUAACACUGUCCAUUUUUUACCAACUUGCUUGUUGAUGCACACAUAACAAUCAUCAGCAAGACAAACACAAGAGAAAAAGUAUUUUUUUUAAAAAAUAUGAGAAAAAGAAAGUUCACCAGAGGGGACCCAGUGCAGACAGACAGGACAGGAUUAGCAAGAAAGAAUAAUAAUAAUAUUAAAAAAAAUAUUUCUGCUUUGAGGGAAUUCAUAUUCAUGAAGGUUUCACAUCUGCCUGAACACACAGAGUGCACAUUCAUACAGGCGAGACAAGUUUUUCAACCCUUUCCAAACAAAGUUUAAAGGUAAAGUCUAGACUGCUUUUUCACUGUGACUUGCUAGAUAUAAACUUCAGCAUAAAUUGUCGUGGUAUUAUUAUUAUUAUUAUUAUUAUUACUGUACCACACUACAGUAAACUAUUGCUGUGCUGUUCAUUUCGACAUGCUUGUAAUGAUGAGUCCAAUUGAGUCUUCAGAUUAACAUAAACUGUCAGGUUCCUUUAAUAAUUUAUUGACAUGCAUAAUGUAUAUCAUACACCAGACCUUCAGCUGUUUUUUUUUUUUUUUUUUUUUUUGAGUGAAGUUUCAAGAGAAAUAUCUGUGAUUCAUGCAACGGAUCAAUUAAGCUCUCAGUAUACAGAAUGCCUGCAUGGGUAUAAUAAUAAUAAUGACAUGAUAAUUAAUUUUAUUUAUAGAGCACUUUUCAUACACAAGGUGCUGUAGCUCAAAGUGCUGAAUAAUCAAGUAGUAAAAAUAAAAUGUAUAUAUAAGAUAAAGUGAAAAUAUAAAUACACAAAAAUAAACAAAUACAGAAUAAAAUGACAAAAAAAUCAAUAAAAUAAAUAUAAUAAAUGUAUAAGGAAACACGUACAGUGAGAAGAGCAGCGGUCCUAAAAUUGAAACUUGUGGCACUCAUUAAUUAACACAGACGAACAAUUUCCCAAAGCAACAACAACAACAACAACAACAAAAAAAUCUCUCUACUUAUUAAAUAUGACUUAACGCUUUCUAAAAUGGUUCCUGAAAGGCCUACGCAGAGACGAUGGCUAAGGAGUGGGCAGUAAAAAUGCGCGCAAGGUGCCGUGAAAUGCUCACAAACAAAGCUAUUCAUGAGAGCAGUUCAGUUCAGCGAGCACUGAGCAAUUCUUAAUGAGCACACUCGCUGAUAUUAAUCUGCAUGGUCAGGUCAACUGUCCUCACACUCUCUAUAUAAUCUCAAAUAUAAAACUCAGAACAAGGAGUUCAUUGCUAGCCACACGCAGCAACAACAAACAUAAACAAAGCUAAAUAAAAUGCGCCAUGACAUCCCUGAUUGAUUAGUACUAAGCAGGUUACUCAUUCCUGUAUGAACUACUUGUACUCAGUAUCGAUGAAUCUAACACAUGAAAAUUGCUCACAUAGCUGAGAGCUGUGUUCCAGCCUUAACUCUCAGCAAACAGGAGGAACAGAGGGAGGGAAGAUUUUAUUUUCCCGGUAGGUCUAUAGCAAGCCACGAAACCCUACUUACACUCCAUCACAGGCAGAAUGACAGUUGACGUGGUGAAAUUUACGUGGAAGGUCAGCAGAUUUACAGGCGCCACGUUCACCCACACAAUCGCAAAUAAAAAUCAGACUCAAACAUAAGCCGAGCAAUGAGUUAACAAGAGACAGGGAGAAAAUUGGAAAAUGUCAGACAAGGUGGAGCAGAAGAAUGAAUUUGUCCAAGUGUGUGUGUGUGUGUGUGUGUGUGUGUGUGUGUAUGAGAUAACUGGCUGGAAGCAGACAGACAUUUUUCCCCUCAGUGUCCAGUUCUAAUGCAGCAAAAAGACAUGAAGAGACAGAACGAAGAGAAAGAAACGGAGCUGUGGAUUGAAAGCUUGUGACAGGUGAGAAGUCAUGCACGAAAGAGUGACAGAGCAAAAAAGGGUCAAAAUUGAGAAAGUGAGAAAGGCGUGUAUGUAUGUGUGAGUGAGUGAGAGAGAGAGAGAGAGAGAGAGAGUGAUGGAGGCUCGGUUGGUGUCAGGGACUGUGUGUCCUGUGCCAGGCUGGAAUAAAGUGUCCGUGUCGAAGGCCCGAGCUUCCCCAGGGCUGUGCUGAUUAAUUGAGCUGUCCGAGCCCUCUGAUGGCGGCUCCUUUACGUAGAGCUCCUGGGAAACUCACCCCGCUUCCAUCAGAAAGGAAAAAAAAUCGUUUUCCCGUGCUAAAAUUAGAGACUUUCGCUUUCUCACUAUGUUCUUACAUCAGCAUGCGCUUCACCUUGCCGGAGGGGUUUAAUGAUCGUCAUGAGAAAGAGAGACAGACAGAGAGAGAGAGAGAGAGAGAGAAAGACAACAGGACAGACAAACACCGGGCCACUUGGACACGUCCCCCUCCUGCCUCUGUCACUCACAGGCUGUGUGCGCAGCGGCUGAAGAUGAAGCACCGCUGUCUCAGGGUCGCGGGGAAGCCUGGAGCCUAUACCAGGGAACUCGGGACACAAGAUGGGGGACACCCUGCACACACACAUUCACACACUACGGACAAUUUGGAAAAUGCCAAUCAGCAUGUCUUGGGACUGGGGGAGGGAUUCGAACCCCCAACCCUGGAGGAGGCCAAACAUGCUAACCACUAAGCCAACAUCCCCCCCGAGGGUUCAUAUAAUGAGCAGAAAUUCCAAAUAAA
Long non-coding RNA from Pangasianodon hypophthalmus (striped catfish), 7212 nucleotides. RefSeq lists it as uncharacterized. NCBI's taxonomy places the organism in Eukaryota, Metazoa, Chordata, Actinopteri, Siluriformes, Pangasiidae. The record is from RefSeq and is a predicted model, not a curated record. The transcript is spliced from 2 exons.